Hipposideros armiger (great roundleaf bat) is the source of this 3603-nucleotide RNA transcript. It is a transcript of the gene named solute carrier family 16 member 13, with no coding region annotated. The record is from RefSeq and is a predicted model, not a curated record. Lineage: Eukaryota; Metazoa; Chordata; Mammalia; Chiroptera; Hipposideridae. The transcript is spliced from 4 exons.
AAAUAAGUCCAUUAACAUGGUCUCUGCAGUUCCUUCCAACAUUUACAGUUUGUGGUUGUGUUUCUCAGUCUUUUAAAACCCGUGACAUGGAUUAGAUUUUUAAAAAGCAAAAAAUGAAACAAAACUAAAACUUUUCUUCUCCCCCCACUACAGCUUAUCUCCUGUUGAAAAUGAGACCAGCUAAUAUUACUAAUCUGCUACAUGUCAGGUCCUAAACUAAGCAUUUUAAUGCAUAGAUUAUCUAAUUCAACUUCCCUGACAACCCUAAAAAGUAGGUGCUAUUAUUAUUCCCAAUCUACAGAUCAGGAAACCAACUAAGAGGUUCAAUAUCUUGGCCAAGUCAUUAAGUGAUGAAGCCAAGAUUGGAACUUUGGUUCUAAACACUGUGCUCUUAACCACUAUGUUAUAAUGCCACACCAACUCAUUGGCAUAUUCCCCACCACCCAAAGUUUUGACUUUACUUACACACACACACACAAAAGGUGUUUUGGAUAUGAUCAUUUUUAUUUCCCACAUAUAAAAUUAUAAGGCUCAAUAUACUUUUCAAAAUUACACAGCCUCCCUCCCCACAUGUCUGGGUAUGAACACUUGAGUCCAAGUUUGAAGGUCAGGGUCUUGGGGAGGUUAAAUUAUAAUGAAGAAACAGAAAGCCGGGCCAUUAGUGCUAUAUAAAGUGGAGGGACUGGGUACUGGUUGGGUUGGAGGGGCCCACUGCUCCAGUAGUCAUGGCUUGUCUCUUUAUCUAAUCAUGAAAUCAAAAAUUGGUUAGAAAGUGGUUGUUACUAGAGGGACAGAACAGAAGAAAGGGUUCCAGUCCCAGUGAAGAAGGGGUGGGUGAUGCUGGUAGGACCCACCCUUCCUCUCCCCAGUUACAAUAUUUUUGGUUUCUGUGACCUAAAGUUUUUCUGUUAGUGGGAACAAGCUGCAGAAAUGAACGCCAGGAGUCCAACAACCCAUUCCCCUUGUCUCUUCCCUUGGCCUUUGAACCCCUCAGGGAUCCAGGCAUCUAGAUUCUAGUGGCCUCAGGAGCGUUGCCAGGUAUUUUGUUUGAGUCGUAUCUCAUUACCCUCUGCUCGUCCGCACCUAGCCUUGCAACACUUGGGCUCCUUAUUAAAUAAGUGAAUGUUUUCCUCUCCUGAACCAGUUUACGUACCACCAACCCCCACGUACUCCUUACGUGCGGGUCUUGGUGCUGAAACCUGGGCGAAUUGGCGUGCUAGGUGAACAGGAAACGGAAGCAGCCUCCUGAGAGGUCCCCACGUUCCGCAUCUAAUUGGCCUCCUAAAGUUUCCUCUUUACGCAUGCUCCCUACUCAGGGCCCGGGUCCAGAACAAUGCUCUAAAUCCCGCCCUGCCUUUCCGGCUCCGCCCCUGCUCAGGAGUCAAGCGUCCUCAUUGGCGAGCUAUGCCAGGCUGACCAGGUGCUAACACUUGCAAUGAUAAAAUUGAUAAUCCAUACGGAGAAUCGCCUCAACGGUGGGGCCCAAACCCAGUGUCGCCCCCCGGCUCUUCUACCUAACGUUGCCCACGGCUGGAUCUGUCCUGCCCAGGCCUCUAUUCUGUACUAGAGACCAGCAGAGCCACGCCCACGGGCGCUGAUCUCCCCAGAAGCACCGGCCUGUUCUUCCCACCAAUAUCGCCCUGGUAGGAGAAAAGCGCAGGUGCCUCACGCAGCCUCUCUGCAGCUUUUAAGCCCUCGUCUGUACUUUCUUCUCUACCAGCCUUUCCUCCCCUGCGCGGCCCCAGCCGUCCGUUCGUCCGGCUGGCUGGCUGGCUGGCUGGCUGGCUGGCUGGCUGGCUGGCUGGAGCGUCCUGAGCCCUGCUUCCGCGGGGGCUUUUAGUGGUGGCAGCUCUGUUACUUCCCAGAUGGCGCGUAGGGCCGAGCCCCCCGACGGGGGCUGGGGCUGGAUGGUGGUGCUUUCAGCGUUCUUCCAGUCGGCGUUGGUGUUCGGGGUGCUCCGCUCCUUCGGGGUUUUCUUCGUGGAGUUUGUGGCGGCGUUUGAGGAGCAGGCAGCGCGCGUCUCCUGGAUCGCCUCCAUAGGAAUUGCAAUGCAGCAGUUUGGGAGCCCAGUGGGCAGUGCCCUGAGCACGAAGUUUGGGCCCAGGCCCGUGGUGAUGGCUGGGGGCAUCUUGGCUGCCCUGGGGAUGCUGCUCGCCUCCUUUGCUACCUCCUUGACCCACUUGUACCUGAGUAUUGGGCUGCUCUCCGGCUGUGGCUGGGCCUUGACCUUCACUCCAACCCUGGCCUGCCUGUCCCGUUACUUCUCUCGCCGGCGAUCCCUGGCCAUGGGACUGGCACUGACGGGCGUGGGCCUCUCUUCCUUUGCCUUUGCCCCAUUCUUCCAAUGGCUGCUAAGCCACUAUGCCUGGCGGGGUGCCUUACUGCUGGUGUCUGCCCUCUCCUUCCACCUGGUGGCCUGUGGUGCUCUCCUCCGCCCACUCUCCCUAACUGAGGACCCUGCCAUGGGAGGUCCUGGGGCCCAACUUGCCUUCCUUCUUCAUCAUGGCCCCUUCCUCCGUUACACUGUUGCCCUCACCCUGAUCAACACUGGCUACUUCAUUCCCUACGUGCACCUAGUGGCCCAUCUCCAGGACCUGGGUUGGGAUCCACUGCCUGCUGCCUUCCUACUCUCAUUGGCUGCUAUUUCUGAUCUUAUUGGGCGUGUGGUUUCUGGGUGGCUAGGGGAUGCAGUCCCAGGGCCUGUGGCACGACUCCUGACUCUCUGGACUGCCCUGACUGGGGUGUCACUGGCCCUAUUCCCUGUGGCUCAGGCUCCCACAGCCCUGGUGACUCUGGCUCUGGCCUAUGGCUUCACAUCAGGGGCCCUGACUCCAGUGGCCUUCUCCGUGCUGCCUGAACUGGUGGGGACUGGAAGGAUAUACUGUGGCCUGGGACUGGUGCAGAUGGUAGAGAGCAUCGGGGGGCUGCUGGGGGCUCCUCUGUCAGGUAAGGAGAACAGGGUUUCCAGGUGGGCCAGAACUGCUGUAUCAUACCAUUUGGGGAGGGGACUAUUCACAUUAGAGUGGAUGUAAAUAUUGCUGUCUGAUAUGGUAUACUACACGGCCUGUAUAGCCAAUCAUAGCAGCACUGAAGUAGGUCCAUAGGGCAAAGAAAUUGGGGCUAUAGAAAGACUAAAAGGAGCUAUGUGGAACCCUUGGCAGGGUAUCUGCAGCUUGGGUUUUCAGAGGAUCUAGCUGGACCUGGACAGACAUAACAUGUCACUGUCUGCCCUUUCCUUUGGCCCAUUGGGCCCCAACCCAGAUGUCUGAGUCAUCUGACCAAAGUUCUCCAGCCUCCAGAUGCCAGAACCUUAGACCUGUAACAUUUUCCUCUUAACUAUUAACGGAAGGUGUAGAAGGGAGGGCCACAGUUGCCAGAAAGAAAGGCACAGGUGUGCCUGAUUCAAUUUGGAUUCCCAAAUCUCCACUGGCUGGUUUGGAGGUCCUUUUUGAAGACAAGAAGGUGAUUGAAAUGACCUUUUGAAGCCCCUUGGGAAGCCAGAGUUCUCAAGGCUACCUCCGGGAUGUGACAGGCAACUACACAGCUUCUUUUGUGGUGGCUGGGGCCUUCCUUCUUGCAGGGAGUGGAGUUCUCAUCACUCUG